RNAcentral lists this ribosomal RNA (468 nucleotides) under uncultured bacterium. RNAcentral's name for it is "partial 16S ribosomal RNA". It matches the Rfam family "Bacterial small subunit ribosomal RNA", at positions 28 to 507 of the family's 1533-position model. The record is from RNAcentral.
GACGAACGCUGGCGGCGUGCUUAACACAUGCAAGUCGAACGGAAAGGCCCUGCUUUUGUGGGGUGCUCGAGUGGCGAACGGGUGAGUAACACGUGAGUAACCUGCCCUUGACUUUGGGAUAACUUCAGGAAACUGGGGCUAAUACCGGAUAGGAGCUCCUGCUGCAUGGUGGGGGUUGGAAAGUUUCGGCGGUUGGGGAUGGACUCGCGGCUUAUCAGCUUGUUGGUGGGGUAGUGGCUUACCAAGGCUUUGACGGGUAGCCGGCCUGAGAGGGUGACCGGCCACAUUGGGACUGAGAUACGGCCCAGACUCCUACGGGAGGCAGCAGUGGGGAAUAUUGCACAAUGGGCGGAAGCCUGAGGCAGCAACGCCGCGGGCGGGAUGACGGCCUUCGGGUUGUAAACCGCUUUCGCCUGUGACGAAGCGUGAGUGACGGUAAUGGGUAAAGAAGCACCGGCUAACUACGUG